UACAGAGGUCUCAAGCGUUGUUCGGAUUCAUUGGGCGUAAAGGGUGCGUAGGCGGCGCGGUAAGUCGGGUGUGAAAUCUCGGAGCUUAACUCCGAAACUGCAUUCGAUACUGCCGUGCUUGAGGACUGGAGAGGAGACUGGAAUUUACGGUGUAGCGGUGAAAUGCGUAGAUAUCGAGAGGAACACCUGCGGCGAAGGCGGGUUGCUGGGCUGACACUGACGCUGAUGCGCGAAAGCCAGGGGAGCGAACGGG
This 253-nucleotide ribosomal RNA is filed under the name uncultured bacterium. RNAcentral describes it as "partial 16S ribosomal RNA". It matches the Rfam family "Bacterial small subunit ribosomal RNA", at positions 524 to 776 of the family's 1533-position model. The record is from RNAcentral.